This is a long non-coding RNA of Austrofundulus limnaeus, 374 nucleotides long. RefSeq lists it as uncharacterized. The record is from RefSeq and is a predicted model, not a curated record. NCBI's taxonomy places the organism in Eukaryota, Metazoa, Chordata, Actinopteri, Cyprinodontiformes, Rivulidae. The transcript is spliced from 3 exons.
GAUAGAUAACCUUUUAAAAUCUUUUUGAAAGCAACUAUCUACAACUAGUUAAAAACAAAAUGUCCAGUCUUUUUGCAUGGUUGUAAUCUGACACUUUGUGGGCUGAGGUUUUGGCAGGCAGACCAGAUUAGAAGAUAGAAAACUGCGUGUCCGAGCCUUUGUCCACCUUGUACGUGCACGAUCCUCUGCUCUGCUGACCUACCAGUAUCAAGACGUUGCAGCUUUAGGUGAACAUGAACAUCCUGCAAGUCCUGGGCAUCCUACAACUGGCUGUCCCUGCAUUUACAUUCACACAGCCAGUCCAUGACUACUGGGGAGAGUUCGGGGCCUAUGGUCCCUGCAGCCGGACCUGCGGCACCGGUGUGGCAAUGAGA